RNAcentral lists this ribosomal RNA (728 nucleotides) under Rhopalostylis baueri. Its description in RNAcentral is "eukaryotic LSU rRNA". The stretch from base 283 to 438 matches the Rfam family "5.8S ribosomal RNA". Lineage: Eukaryota; Viridiplantae; Streptophyta; Magnoliopsida; Arecales; Arecaceae. The record is from RNAcentral. RNAcentral also lists the same sequence under 1 other name.
GGAAGGAUCAUUGCCGAGACCCGGACGAGGAAAGACCCGCGAACACGUGAACGCGCUGCGCCGUGGCGGCAAGGCCCGGCCGACCCGCCGCGUCGCCCUCGCCCCUCCCCCCGCCGCAUCCGUCGGCGUGGGGGUGGCCGGCGGAACAGAACCCCGGCGCCCCGGAGGGUGCCAAGGAACAGGAGCGCGGAAGCGGGGGCACCUUCACCGCCCGCCCGUCCCCACUCCGGUGUCGGGAGGGCGGAGGGCAUCGCCACCGUCGAUGCCAGCCUUAUGCGGUACGACUCUCGGCAACGGAUAUCUCGGCUCUCGCAUCGAUGAAGAACGUAGCGAAAUGCGAUACCUGGUGUGAAUUGCAGAAUCCCGCGAACCAUCGAGUCUUUGAACGCAAGUUGCGCCCGAGGCCACCCGGCCGAGGGCACGCCUGCCUGGGCGUCACGCAAAAAGCGACGCUCCACUCCGCCCGGGGCCACGACGAGCUCCGGGGUGGCCGGACGCGGACACUGACCCCCCGCGCCCCCCGGCACGGCGGGUAGAAGAGCGGGCCGUUGGCGGGGCCGGACACGGUGGAUGGUGGACGCGCCUGCGAUCCUGCCACCGUGCCCCUGACCCGAAGGGCCCUCCCUCCCACCGCGCGUCGCGCACCGGCCCCCGGUCGGGGCGGCGCCCCUCGGAUCGCGACCCCAGGUCAGGCGGGGCCACCCGCCGAGCUUAAGCAUAUCAAUAAG